GUUGUAUGGUUAAGUGACUAAGCGUACAUGGUGGAUGCCUUGGCAGUCAGAGGCGAUGAAGGACGUACUAACCUGCGAUAAGCUGUGAGAAGUCGGUAAGAGACGCUAUUACUCACAGAUUUCCGAAUGGGGAAACCCACCCGAGAUAACUCGGGUAUCUGUUACUGAAUACAUAGGUAACAGAGGCGAACCGGGAGAACUGAAACAUCUAAGUACCCGAGGAAAAGAAAUCAACCGAGAUUCCCUCAGUAGCGGCGAGCGAACGGGGAUUAGCCCUUAAGCAUCUUGGAAGUUAGUGGAACGGUCCUGGAAAGGCCGGCGAUACAGGGUGAUAGCCCCGUACACGAAAACAACCUUGAUGUGAAAUCGAGUAGGGCGGGACACGUGACAUCCUGUCUGAAUAUGGGGGGACCAUCCUCCAAGGCUAAAUACUCCUGACUGACCGAUAGUGAACCAGUACCGUGAGGGAAAGGCGAAAAGAACCCCUGUGAGGGGAGUGAAAUAGAACCUGAAACCGUGUACGUACAAGCAGUGGGAGCCCUUCGGGGUGACUGCGUACCUUUUGUAUAAUGGGUCAGCGACUUACAUUUUGUAGCGAGGUUAACCGUAUAGGGGAGCCGUAGGGAAACCGAGUCUUAACUGGGCGUCUAGUUGCAAGGUGUAGACCCGAAACCGGGUGAUCUAGCCAUGGGCAGGUUGAAGGUUGAGUAACAUCAACUGGAGGACCGAACCCACUAACGUUGCAAAGUUAGGGGAUGACCUGUGGCUGGGGGUGAAAGGCCAAUCAAACUCGGAGAUAGCUGGUUCUCCCCGAAAGCUAUUUAGGUAGCGCCUCGGACGAAUACUACUGGGGGUAGAGCACUGUUUGGGCUAGGGGGUCAUCCCGACUUACCAACCCCAUGCAAACUCCGAAUACCAGUAAGUAAUAUCCGGGAGACACACGGCGGGUGCUAACGUCCGUCGUGAAGAGGGAAACAACCCAGACCGCCGGCUAAGGUCCCAAAGUUCUGGUUAAGUGGGAAACGAUGUGGGAAGGCUCAGACAGCUAGGAUGUUGGCUUAGAAGCAGCCAUCAUUUAAAGAAAGCGUAAUAGCUCACUAGUCGAGUCGGCCUGCGCGGAAGAUGUAACGGGGCUCAAACCAGGCACCGAAGCCGCGGAUUCACACUUAUGUGUGAGUGGUAGGGGAGCGUUCUGUAAGUCUGCGAAGGUGUAUCGAGAGGUAUGCUGGAGAUAUCAGAAGUGCGAAUGCUGACGUAAGUAACGAUAAAGGGGGUGAAAAGCCUCCUCGCCGGAAGACCAAGGGUUCCUGUCCAACGUUAAUCGGGGCAGGGUGAGUCGACCCCUAAGGCGAGGCCGAAAGGCGUAGUCGAUGGGAAGCAGGUUAAUAUUCCUGCACGACUUGUAAUUGCGAUGGGGGGACGGAGAAGGCUAGGUGGGCCAGGCGACGGUUGUCCUGGUGAAAGUGCGUAGGUGGUGUUUCUAGGCAAAUCCGGAGACACAACACUGAGACACGAGACGAACACACUACGGUGUGGAAGCCAUUGAUGCCCUGCUUCCAGGAAAAGCCUCUAAGCUUCAGAUUACAAGUCAUCGUACCCCAAACCGACACAGGUGGUCGGGUAGAGAAUACCAAGGCGCUUGAGAGAACUCGGGUGAAGGAACUAGGCAAAAUAGAACCGUAACUUCGGGAGAAGGUUCGCUCUUGACAGUGAAGUCCCUUGCGGAUGGAGCAGUUGGGAGUCGCAGUGACCAGAUGGCUGGGACUGUUUAUCAAAAACACAGCACUCUGCAAACACGAAAGUGGACGUAUAGGGUGUGACACCUGCCCGGUGCCGGAAGGUUAAUUGAUGGGGUUAGCGCAAGCGAAGCUCUUGAUCGAAGCCCCGGUAAACGGCGGCCGUAACUAUAACGGUCCUAAGGUAGCGAAAUUCCUUGUCGGGUAAGUUCCGACCUGCACGAAUGGUGUAACCAUGGCCAUGCUGUCUCCACCCGAGACUCAGUGAAAUCGAAUUCGCCGUGAAGAUGCGGUGUACCCGCGGCUAGACGGAAAGACCCCGUGAACCUUUACUACAGCUUGGCACUGAACAUUGAACCUACAUGUGUAGGAUAGGUGGGAGGCUUUGAAGGCGUGACGCCAGUUGCGCUGGAGCCGUCCUUGAAAUACCACCCUUGUAUGUUUGAUGUUCUAACGCAGGGCCCUGAAUCGGGCUCGCGGACAGUGCCUGGUGGGUAGUUUGACUGGGGCGGUCUCCUCCCAAAGAGUAACGGAGGAGCACGAAGGUUGGCUAAUCCUGGUCGGACAUCAGGAGGUUAGUGCAAUGGCAUAAGCCAGCUUAACUGCGAGACGGACAGGUCGAGCAGGUACGAAAGUAGGUCAUAGUGAUCCGGUGGUUCUGAAUGGAAGGGCCAUCGCUCAACGGAUAAAAGGUACUCCGGGGAUAACAGGCUGAUACCGCCCAAGAGUUCAUAUCGACGGCGGUGUUUGGCACCUCGAUGUCGGCUCAUCACAUCCUGGGGCUGAAGUCGGUCCCAAGGGUAUGGCUGUUCGCCAUUUAAAGUGGUACGCGAGCUGGGUUCAGAACGUCGUGAGACAGUUCGGUCCCUAUCUGCCGUGGGCGUUGGAUGAUUGAAGGGAGUUGCUCCUAGUACGAGAGGACCGGAGUGAACGAACCUCUGGUGUUCGGGUUGUCACGCCAGUGGCACUGCCCGGUAGCUAAGUUCGGAAUCGAUAACCGCUGAAAGCAUCUAAGCGGGAAGCGAGCCCUGAGAUGAGUCAUCCCUGACCCCUUGAGGGUCCUAAAGGGCCGUUGGAGACCACAACGUUGAUAGGUGGGGUGUGUAAGCGCGGCGACGUGUUGAGCUAACCCAUACUAAUUACCCGUGAGGCUUAACCAUACAACACCCAAGAAGUGUUCU
This 2917-nucleotide ribosomal RNA is filed under the name Aeromonas veronii. RNAcentral describes it as "23S ribosomal RNA". It matches the Rfam family "Bacterial large subunit ribosomal RNA". Lineage: Bacteria; Pseudomonadati; Pseudomonadota; Gammaproteobacteria; Aeromonadales; Aeromonadaceae. The record is from RNAcentral.